Long non-coding RNA from Columba livia (rock pigeon), 1430 nucleotides. RefSeq lists it as uncharacterized. Lineage: Eukaryota; Metazoa; Chordata; Aves; Columbiformes; Columbidae. The record is from RefSeq and is a predicted model, not a curated record. The transcript has 3 exons.
GUGUGGAGACUCCCUGUGGAGCGUGUGAGUCCCUGCGGAGUGUUUGUGUGCUUUGUUUUUGGAGAAGCUGUCUGCUUGGCCCUUUGGCUGGUGCCCUGUGUUUAGAGAUCCGAGUCCUGCUUCAGCUUGGGAGAGGAAAUGCAAACAGUGAGUGCUCAUGGAUAGGAAGGUGUCAAUCAUGUCCUCCCUAGGUGAAGGAUGCUUGUGGAAGUCAAAUGUUGCUCGACACAGAGUAUCCAAUAGAAGGGGCAAAACCCAAAGGCAGCUGAGGAGAACCUAGCAGCUUUUAGCUAUUGGCUGACACAGGCAGCUGAAUGAGAACUGGAGUUUGGUUUACCCUUUGUUUUCUAAUGGGUAGAAUGUAUUGAUAGAGCAGAGGAGAGAGGCAUGGGCCCGAAUAAUGCUAUUUCUAGGCUGCUGUAAUAGCUCUAAUGCGGUGGGGUUUGACAUACCUGAUAUCCUUACUGCACAUCAACAGUGUCCGUAGAAAAAUGAGUCAAAGGUGCUUAGACUGGAUUUGUAGCAGUGUUCUGGGAAGCUGAGCUUUGUUUGGGGCAUGCAAAUUGCAGCAAAACACUUGAAGAGAUGGGUUUGCUUAUAGCCUGGCUUAUUUAACAGUAUAUUUUUUUUAAGAAAAGCUGUUGCAUUGGUUUAAUGUUAUUUCUCUCCAGUGUGCGGUGAGGACUUAAUAUCUGUGCUAACCUUUCUGUAUAUGUUGAACUGAAUUCCUCUAGUCCUGAUUCAGUAAGAUGUGUGUUACUUUCUUAGCUCAGGCAGAAAUGUACACUUAGUAAGUUAUAUUUGCUAAACAGAUGAAAUUUAAAACAAACUUGAGUUCUUAGUACAGUGUGAGACUUGGCUAGUAAAUUGUUUUCUGCUUUGUCCUGGUUUUGUUAAAAACAAGUUUCUCUUUCAGUGAAUUUUGCCUGUCAGCUAAAGCUUCAUAUUAACUGCAUUUUCCUGGAGAACCAGACACAUGUUUUAGUAAACCUAGCAAUGGAAUGCAAACUUAUUGAUAAGCACGGAUGGACAUCUCGCAAGAGGGGCGACGAGAAACAAGUGACCAAGAAACUGACCAACUGUGUAUAGUAUUCCAUUCACGUGAAUACUUCAUAUAAAAGUGGGAGAUCACGAGGAUCUCGUCUCUUUUGCUCCCUUUUCCCUUUUUCCUUAUGGCUGACAUUAGGAGAGGACCUUGCAAGUCGUCCCUGCAAACUGAGGCCUAGUGACAGACUGAAUCCAGCUCCGGUUGGCUGCAGAGUCCAGUCCAGGACUUUGGUUGCCGGCUCUGCAGUUGGGGAGACUUUCACGAUUGGUUUUGUAUAAUUUGUAUUAUUUUCUCUAUUCUUGUUGGUAGCAUUAGUGAAACAUUGUUAAUUUUUCCAACUCUCUUCUCUCUGUCCUUCUUUCCCUCCCGAUCACCUGUCCUG